RNAcentral lists this ribosomal RNA (271 nucleotides) under uncultured bacterium. RNAcentral's name for it is "partial small subunit ribosomal RNA". It matches the Rfam family "Bacterial small subunit ribosomal RNA", at positions 26 to 285 of the family's 1533-position model. The record is from RNAcentral.
AGAAUCAACGCUGGCGGCGUGCCUAACACAUGCAAGUCGAACGCGAAAGUCCCGCAAGGGAUAAGUAGAGUGGCAAACGGGUGAGUAACACGUGGGUGACCUGCCUUCGAGUGGGGGAUAACGUCCCGAAAGGGUCGCUAAUACCGCAUGACAUCCUGCUUUUUAAGAGGCGGAGAUCAAAGCUGGGAUCGCAAGACCUGGCGCUUGAAGAGGGGCCCGCGCCUGAUUAGCUAGUUGGUGGGGUAAUGGCUCACCAAGGCAUCGAUCAGUA